Molecule: ribosomal RNA, 529 nt
Filed under: Streptomyces sp. 303B04
Lineage: Bacteria; Bacillati; Actinomycetota; Actinomycetes; Kitasatosporales; Streptomycetaceae
Description: bacterial SSU rRNA
Rfam family: Bacterial small subunit ribosomal RNA
Source: RNAcentral
UAGUGGCGAACGGGUGAGUAACACGUGGGCAAUCUGCCCUUCACUCUGGGACAAGCCCUGGAAACGGGGUCUAAUACCGGAUACCACUCCUGCCUGCAUGGGCGGGGGUUGAAAGCUCCGGCGGUGAAGGAUGAGCCCGCGGCCUAUCAGCUUGUUGGUGGGGUAAUGGCCCACCAAGGCGACGACGGGUAGCCGGCCUGAGAGGGCGACCGGCCACACUGGGACUGAGACACGGCCCAGACUCCUACGGGAGGCAGCAGUGGGGAAUAUUGCACAAUGGGCGAAAGCCUGAUGCAGCGACGCCGCGUGAGGGAUGACGGCCUUCGGGUUGUAAACCUCUUUCAGCAGGGAAGAAGCGAAAGUGACGGUACCUGCAGAAGAAGCGCCGGCUAACUACGUGCCAGCAGCCGCGGUAAUACGUAGGGCGCAAGCGUUGUCCGGAAUUAUUGGGCGUAAAGAGCUCGUAGGCGGCUUGUCACGUCGGAUGUGAAAGCCCGAGGCUUAACCUCGGGUCUGCAUUCGAUACGGA